This 243-nucleotide ribosomal RNA is filed under the name uncultured Actinomyces sp. Its description in RNAcentral is "partial 16S ribosomal RNA". It matches the Rfam family "Bacterial small subunit ribosomal RNA", at positions 796 to 1041 of the family's 1533-position model. The record is from RNAcentral. Lineage: Bacteria; Bacillati; Actinomycetota; Actinomycetes; Actinomycetales; Actinomycetaceae.
CAUGCUGUAAACGUUGGGCACUAGGUGUGGGGACCUUGUGGUUUCUGCGCCGUAGCUAACGCAUUAAGUGUCCCGCCUGGGGAGUACGGCCGCAAGGCUAAAACUCAAAGGAAUUGACGGGGACCCGCACAAGCGGCGGAGCAUGCGGAUUAAUUCGAUGCAACGCGAAGAACCUUACCAAGGCUUGACAUGUACCGGUACAGUGUAGAGAUAUGCUGGCCUUUGGGGCUGGUGUGCAGGUGG